UUAAGCGACUAAGCGUACACGGUGGAUGCCCUGGCAGUCAGAGGCGAUGAAGGACGUGCUAAUCUGCGAAAAGCGCCGGCGAGGUGAUAUGAACCUUUGACCCGGCGAUGUCCGAAUGGGGAAACCCAGUGUGAUUCGUCACACUAUCGUUAACUGAAUACAUAGGUUAACGAGGCGAACCGGGGGAACUGAAACAUCUAAGUACCCCGAGGAAAAGAAAUCAACCGAGAUUCCCCCAGUAGCGGCGAGCGAACGGGGAGCAGCCCAGAGUCUGAAUCAGCUUGUGUGUUAGUGGAACCGUCUGGAAAGUCGCACGGUACAGGGUGAAAGUCCCGUACACGAAAAUGCACAGGUUGUGAACUCGAAGAGUAGGGCGGGACACGUGGUAUCCUGUCUGAAUAUGGGGGGACCAUCCUCCAAGGCUAAAUACUCCUGACUGACCGAUAGUGAACCAGUACCGUGAGGGAAAGGCGAAAAGAACCCCGGCGAGGGGAGUGAAAAAGAACCUGAAACCGUGUACGUACAAGCAGUGGGAGCACCUUCGUGGUGUGACUGCGUACCUUUUGUAUAAUGGGUCAGCGACUUAUAUUCUGUAGCAAGGUUAACCGUAUAGGGGAGCCGAAGGGAAACCGAGUCUUAACUGGGCGUUAAGUUGCAGGGUAUAGACCCGAAACCCGGUGAUCUAGCCAUGGGCAGGUUGAAGGUUGGGUAACACUAACUGGAGGACCGAACCGACUAAUGUUGAAAAAUUAGCGGAUGACUUGUGGCUGGGGGUGAAAGGCCAAUCAAACCGGGAGAUAGCUGGUUCUCCCCGAAAGCUAUUUAGGUAGCGCCUCGUGAACUCAUCUUCGGGGGUAGAGCACUGUUUCGGCUAGGGGGCCAUCCCGGCUUACCAACCCGAUGCAAACUACGAAUACCGAAGAAUGUUAUCACGGGAGACACACGGCGGGUGCUAACGUCCGUCGUGAAGAGGGAAACAACCCAGACCGCCAGCUAAGGUCCCAAAGUCAUGGUUAAGUGGGAAACGAUGUGGGAAGGCACAGACAGCCAGGAUGUUGGCUUAGAAGCAGCCAUCAUUUAAAGAAAGCGUAAUAGCUCACUGGUCGAGUCGGCCUGCGCGGAAGAUGUAACGGGGCUAAACCAUGCACCGAAGCUGCGGCAGCGACACUAUGUGUUGUUGGGUAGGGGAGCGUUCUGUAAGCCGUUGAAGGUGUGCUGUGAGGCAUGCUGGAGGUAUCAGAAGUGCGAAUGCUGACAUAAGUAACGAUAAAGCGGGUGAAAAGCCCGCUCGCCGGAAGACCAAGGGUUCCUGUCCAACGUUAAUCGGGGCAGGGUGAGUCGACCCCUAAGGCGAGGCCGAAAGGCGUAGUCGAUGGGAAACAGGUUAAUAUUCCUGUACUUGGUGUUACUGCGAAGGGGGGACGGAGAAGGCUAUGUUAGCCGGGCGACGGUUGUCCCGGUUUAAGCAUGUAGGCGGAACGAUUAGGUAAAUCCGGUCGUUUUUUAACGCUGAGGUGUGAUGACGAGGCACUACGGUGCUGAAGUAACAAAUGCCCUGCUUCCAGGAAAAGCCUCUAAGCAUCAGGUAACAUCAAAUCGUACCCCAAACCGACACAGGUGGUCAGGUAGAGAAUACCAAGGCGCUUGAGAGAACUCGGGUGAAGGAACUAGGCAAAAUGGUGCCGUAACUUCGGGAGAAGGCACGCUGAUAUGUAGGUGAAGCCCCUGCGGGUGGAGCUGAAAUCAGUCGAAGAUACCAGCUGGCUGCAACUGUUUAUUAAAAACACAGCACUGUGCAAACACGAAAGUGGACGUAUACGGUGUGACGCCUGCCCGGUGCCGGAAGGUUAAUUGAUGGGGUUAGCGGCAACGCGAAGCUCUUGAUCGAAGCCCCGGUAAACGGCGGCCGUAACUAUAACGGUCCUAAGGUAGCGAAAUUCCUUGUCGGGUAAGUUCCGACCUGCACGAAUGGCGUAAUGAUGGCCAGGCUGUCUCCACCCGAGACUCAGUGAAAUUGAACUCGCUGUGAAGAUGCAGUGUACCCGCGGCAAGACGGAAAGACCCCGUGAACCUUUACUAUAGCUUGACACUGAACACUGGUCCUUGAUGUGUAGGAUAGGUGGGAGGCUUUGAAGCGUGGACGCCAGUCUGCGUGGAGCCGACCUUGAAAUACCACCCUUUAAUGGCUGGUGUUCUAACGUAGACCCGUAAUCCGGGUUGCGGACAGUGUCUGGUGGGUAGUUUGACUGGGGCGGUCUCCUCCCAAAGAGUAACGGAGGAGCACGAAGGUUAGCUAAUCCUGGUCGGACAUCAGGAGGUUAGUGCAAUGGCAUAAGCUAGCUUGACUGCGAGAGUGACGGCUCGAGCAGGUGCGAAAGCAGGUCAUAGUGAUCCGGUGGUUCUGAAUGGAAGGGCCAUCGCUCAACGGAUAAAAGGUACUCCGGGGAUAACAGGCUGAUA
RNAcentral lists this ribosomal RNA (2460 nucleotides) under bioreactor sludge metagenome. RNAcentral describes it as "bacterial LSU rRNA". It matches the Rfam family "Bacterial large subunit ribosomal RNA", at positions 1 to 2487 of the family's 2925-position model. The record is from RNAcentral.